GCCACACUGGGACUGAGACACGGCCCAGACUCCUACGGGAGGCAGCAGUGGGGAAUAUUGCACAAUGGGCGCAAGCCUGAUGCAGCGACGCCGCGUGAGGGAUGACGGCCUUCGGGUUGUAAACCUCUUUCACCAGGGACGAAGCGUGAGUGACGGUACCUGGAGAAGAAGCACCGGCCAACUACGUGCCAGCAGCCGCGGUAAUACGUAGGGUGCGAGCGUUGUCCGGAAUUACUGGGCGUAAAGAGCUCGUAGGCGGUUUGUCGCGUCGUCUGUGAAAUUCUGCAACUCAAUUGCAGGCGUGCAGGCGAUACGGGCAGACUUGAGUACUACAGGGGAGACUGGAAUUCCUGGUGUAGCGGUGAAAUGCGCAGAUAUCAGGAGGAACACCGGUGGCGAAGGCGGGUCUCUGGGUAGUAACUGACGCUGAGGAGCGAAAGCGUGGGUAGCGAACAGGAUUAGAUACCCUGGUAGUCC
Molecule: ribosomal RNA, 477 nt
Filed under: Gordonia sp. 42(2011)
Lineage: Bacteria; Bacillati; Actinomycetota; Actinomycetes; Mycobacteriales; Gordoniaceae
Description: bacterial SSU rRNA
Rfam family: Bacterial small subunit ribosomal RNA
Source: RNAcentral